AUCGAACGCUGGCGGCAGGCCUAACACAUGCAAGUCGUGCGAGCGGCGGACGGGUGAGUAAUUUAUGGGGAUCUGCCUCAUGGCGGGGGAUAACUACUGGAAAAGGUAGCUAAUCUCGCAUACCAUCCGCUGCACCCUUAUGGGCUUAGCUUGUAGGUGAGGUAACGGCUCACAUAGGCGACGAUACCUAGCUGGUCUGAGAGGAUGAUCAGCCACACUGGGACUGAGACACGGCCCAGACUCCUACGGGAGGCAGCAGUGGGGAAUAUUGGACAAUGGGCGCAAGCCUGAUGCAGCCAUGCCGCGUGUAUGAAGAAGGCCUUCGGGUUGUAAAGUACUUUCAGCGAGGAGGCGUUACUCGCAGAAGAAGCACCGGCUAACUCCGUGCCAGCAGCCGCGGUAAUUC
RNAcentral lists this ribosomal RNA (406 nucleotides) under uncultured bacterium. Its description in RNAcentral is "partial 16S ribosomal RNA". It matches the Rfam family "Bacterial small subunit ribosomal RNA", at positions 30 to 526 of the family's 1533-position model. The record is from RNAcentral.